This is a long non-coding RNA of Vespa crabro (European hornet), 5595 nucleotides long. RefSeq lists it as uncharacterized. NCBI's taxonomy places the organism in Eukaryota, Metazoa, Arthropoda, Insecta, Hymenoptera, Vespidae. The transcript has 3 exons. The record is from RefSeq and is a predicted model, not a curated record.
CGGGCGUUUGUUGUUUUGCAAUAAUAUUCAUUAUUGGCCAUCAUCCAAGAAUUGUAGAAAAUAUCUUUUCGUGGUUAUUUUCAAAGAUGCAUACAUACAUAUAUACACGACUUUAAUAACGAAUUCUUAUGUAACGGAAGGAAGCUGUUCCAAAUUGCGUUCUUGAGCCUAUUCCUCUCUCUCAUUGGUCUGUCGGUGGCACAGCCAGUCACGUGCCGAUCAGUAGGAAGUGCAUCAGGUACAAAGUACAAACGCAUCGAUAUGUUGUUAACCUCAAAUUUCUAUGGAGAGCCGACUUUACGAAUCGAUACCUUCGAAAGCGUGGGAAAUUCAUAGAAACAACAAGGGUCGUUUGACACGGAUAACGAUGAUGACAAUGGCGAGGAGCUUUGCGUGUCUACGUUGGAUUAAAAAAUUCAAAUGCGAAUGUGGAAAGAAGAACGAGCUACAAAUUACGAUCUCGUCCGUACCUACCAAGAAACUUUUAUCGUAGCACGAACGAACGAACGAACGAACGAACGAACGAAAGAACAAACGCGAGAGACCGUCUCUUUCUCUUUCUUCGGUAUGUUUUACGAGACGAAGCAGCCGCUUCGUUUCUAUCGUGUUUCUUACGAUUCCGUUAUUCCUCCCUGUACAAAUUCUCGUUAAAAUCCGUCCAGGAGGUAAAAACGUUAAGUGUCUUACAGUGUCUCGCAAUUACCAACAUUGGAAAAUAUAUAUAAAGUAACGAAUCUAAACUCAUUUAGAGACUCGUGGAAAAACAGAAACGUCAUGGGUUCACCGUAACUGUCGAUCAAAAGACACAAGUGGAAUAAUGGUGUAACGAAAUAGAAAGGAUUGGUCUCAUAUCGAAUUAGUUUCUAGGUGAAUCAUGUCUUUGCAUAACGUCAAUGUAAAACUCUCGAGAGAUAGGUGUUUGAGUUUGCAGGAGGAGAAACGCUCUGGCGUUUCUCGACAGUGCGAACAACGUGUACACUUUACACCGUCUUCAGACGGGGUGAGAAAGAGAGAGAGGAGAAGAAAGAGAAGGAGAUGCAAAGCGGUUGGUCGGAGUCGAAGGAAAGCGUAGAAAGACGUUGUUGACGAGACGAUAUAUCCAAAGGUAGUAGCAGCCGGUGUUGACAAAACACCGAGACGUCGAUAUGUGUACCCGCGGAAGGCGCUUCAUAGCAGUCGAUGACACAGCCAGCGAGCAGACGGUCUGACCUGGAUGCCUUGUUUGCUUCGCUACCAUCGGCUCGACCCGUCUGCACGCUCCUCUCUCUCUCUCUCUCUCUCAAACUUGUACACAGAUACAGGUCCCUACAUGCAUUCGCACACAGUCGCGUCUAUACUCCAUAUAUCCAGACUCGAUACUGCAACGUGCGUGCCAUGAGGUUUUGUCGCAACCUCGAGCACGUGUAUACUUACACUUUGUGUAAGUGUGUUUGCUCGUGUUUCGUGUGUACCACAAAGCUUGCAGAAAGAGAUAGAGGUACUCGUAGUGUAAAGUCUAGGCUUUUCCUUCACGCUGCUUGGUAAAUAAAAGACACAGCUUGUUUGAAAUUUCCUCGCUCGCUUUUUUUUUUCAAAACUUUACGUUUCAUGUGAUUUUCUCAAAGAUCGAUCUUGAUCGUUCCCUGGCCAAGUUGGAUUAAGUAUACCGAUCUGUUAUACUUUUUCUAACGCAUCUCUAAAUAAGAGUAAUGGACCACGAGCAGUUACGUAUCACAGUAGGAGCUCGAAGGAAAUGGUGAUUCAUUUCGUGAUACCCCACAACGAGAAAAAUGUCCCUGGAAGGGAGCUGCCAUUUCUACGUAAUUUGCAGUGAAAGAGACACUCGCCGUCUCCGCGUUUCUCUCCUCGUAAAAAGUUUCUUCUUCGAGAUUGGGUCGUGAGAUGAGUACUCGCGACGAUAUAUCGCUGCGUCUACUCGUUUUUACGCUCGUUAAAAGGAGGAAAAGUAUUCGAACGUAGGUAGAAACAUUGAAUACCUAAAUAGAAAUUGACUAAUUAGAUGUGUUUAAUAAAACGUCUUAUAAUUACUUGAAAUCAUUUUUGCUUUUGAAAAUUGUGUUAACGAUUUAAUUUAGUACUUCAGAGCUUGCAACUUGAACGAUUUAUAACACACGGUCAUAAACUUGAUUAUUAAACAAAACAAAUAAAUAAAUAAAAAUUUAGAUCUUUUCAAUGGAUAUUUCAUUCAUUGUCACGAAGCAGACGUUCAAAGGGAUCUCUCUUUUUGUAUCUAAUAAUUUACGAUUACGAUUUCACUUGGCAAUUUUUUUUCUUUACUGGGUAGGAGAAAAGAGAAAGCAAUGAAAGUCGUCGAGGUAACGCGUGGGCGAUAGAUAACCGUUAGGAGCAUCGUAAUAAUAGGCGGAUGAGUUAAUUAGAGGGAUUUAAGAGCCGACAAGCAUACCGGCAUAACAUGCAUCAAUCGAGUGAAUCGCUGUCUCUCUGUCGUCGAUAAUUACCAAUACAACAACAACGAUAGCGACAAAGUGCUUUUGUCUUAAAUCGAGGAAUUCCAAGUAUAGUAGUCGAUGAUUAAAUCAAAGUAUCAUCACGGCGCCAGUUAAUUAAUUAGAAAUUUGCUUAAUUAAGUGAUUUAGUAGGCCGAAUACCGUAGCAAUUAGCACGUGUACCCGCCGGCGUCUGAGAGGAGCGCCGAGUAAACAGAGGCAAGACUAGAGAAAGAGCCUUGGGAAGAGGCAAAGAAAACAAAGACUGGUGUUAUUUCUUACCUAAUCAAAAGUGAGUAAAAAGAAGAGAGAGAGAGAGAGUGAGAGAGAGAAUUCUCUAAUUGAAAGUAUAGAUAAAAUAUGUUAGAAAUGUAAACGUCAAAUCGAAUACGCUGCGUCAGAGUUGCGUCAGAGAAAAACGCAUUCUGCAUGGCUUUCCAUUUGUAUGCACCCUUCUUGAUGCGUUUCGGACAAUGAUUGGAUACUUCCAUUAGCGCGCAUAGAUCGAACUUAACGUUUAAAUUCUUUCUCCUUCUCUCUCUCUCUCUUAUACGCACGUACAGUGAACAUACCUGUAUUUUAAACAUAUUGAAAAUUAACAGGAAGUUUAAUUAAAAAACGUAAAUUAAGGUUCCAGUGAUUAAAAUACCGACUGAUUUUCUACAGUCGUUACCACAAAUUUCCAAUUAACUUCUUUGUUUUUUCUUCUUUAUUUUUCAGCGAACUUGAAGAUUGGAAAUAUAUUUCCCUCUCUCUCUCUCUCUCUCUCUCUCUCUCUCUCUCCUUCGCGUUCUUUUAUUUGUAUCCCGUCUGAAGCCUUAAGAGAUUUCUCUGAAAUAUUCCAAAGCCCUGGUUACGCGUAUCAAAGGAAUCCUCGCGCUCAUUACACAUACUUUCCCCUUUCCGCUUUGAAACAUAUAAAGCGAGGUUGCGAAGUUGUAAAAGAGGUGCUUAAAUCCAGUGACUUUCUUCGUUGAAGGAAGAAAAAAAAAGGAAGAAGGAGAGAAUGUCUACAGCGUACGCCAGGUCUUCUUAGAGCGUACACAGACACAUACAUGGAAUAUAUCGAAGAUGGCGUCUAGCUAGACUAGACGAUAGAAAAAUAGAAAAAAGACUAGAUUAGACGAUGACUAGACUUAUCUCCUAUAGACAAACAUCCAUGUACACAUGAGAUCAAAUUUUUGCGUUCUCUUUAAACCCAAUCGCGGAGAACGAAUCGAGUACCAUAGAAAACGAACGUGGAAAACGAACAAUAUUUCCUAGCACCGUCGCGCCGGUCGCCGAUAAAUACAGACUUCGCGCAUAGCGGCGCCCUACCGGUUUUGCGGUAUCUCGAACGGCUUAAUGGCACUGUUAACUGCCGUAUUAUUUAACGGGGAUUUAUGCAUUGCAGUCUGCCGAUUAAAACACUACGGUGGUUAGGGAGAGGGGGGUAGGGAGAGCGUGGAAGAGGACCAAGCGAAAGGGUGGCGAUGAGGUUUGGGUGCUAUGAGUGGAAGUGAGAUAGAAAUGGAGAGGGAAACAGAGAGGGAAAGAGAGAGAGAGAGAGAGAGAGAGAGAGAGAGAGAGAAGCGGUGGCGAACUAGAGCCGACAAGGACGAGAGGGUUGGCGGAGUGCACGAUACCCUUAAUCCUUCAUAAUAGCUUGCUCUGAUAAACAGUCUACCCCCUCAUCCUUCCCAUCUUUUUCACCACGACUGGAAACUCGGGACUCGUAAAAAUCCUCAAACCGAUUAUAUACAUAUAGGCACUAUUCCGUAGAGUCUGAUCAUCGGCAGGUAUCAAUGAAUUGUUUUUUCUUUCUAAUUAGUAAUUUUCACAUUUUUCUUUAGCAUCUCGUGUGCCGUAGAAAGAGUAAAAUAAUCUGGUAAAAAGUGAUAUAGCAACAAAUCGUUCGAUGAAUACUUAAAGAAGAGAAGAAGAAGAAACGAAGAGUAAGGAAGUAGAAAGAGUGAGAGACGAAAGGCUCGUGAAUCAUCCACGUCACGAUCGCUGCCAAUGGGAUCUCGGAUCUCCCGGGCGAUGCUAUUGGAGGAUUUACAUCUCCUGUCUGUGCCGAAUGCCAGAGGAACUUGGUUCGUGCUGCUACUGCUGCUGCUGCUGCUGCUGCUAGUAGUGCUGGUGCAACGAGGACGAUGGUAAAUCCGGUUGGGCAUAUAUUCGCGGAUGCGCGAAUACGACGAGCUCUCGUGGAGGGAAAAGAGAUGGAACGAAAGGAGAAGGAGGAAGAGGGAGGAAAGAUAGAGCUAGAAUGCGUAUAUGUGUGAGAGAGAAAGAGGAGAGAGAAACGGAGCAUGGUCGAUGUGUCUAGCCUAGCCCGGUUGGCUGGCUGGCUGGCUGGCUGGCUGGCUGGCUCGGCUGGCUGGAUGAACCAGGGACCGUCUAGCUUGCGCUGCCCCGCACAAACUCGGCAUUAUCUAUACGUCUAGACACCCCUGCGCCACACCAGAGAAAAGAGAGAGAGAGAGAGAGAGAGAGAGAGAGAGAGAGAGGAAGAGAGAGAUAGACUGUAGGCAGCUUGGCGCACUGCUUGUAAUUUACAGCAAGCCCCACCGUGUCUUUCUACGCUCGCUCUAACCUACCAACUUCCUCUCCUUCUCUUCUUCUCCAUCUUGGUCCGUCUCGUUACACUCUCUAGCUAGUCUUCCUGUGUAAACUCACCCCACAAGAUAUAGUUAUACAACUUUGUUGUUAUCACGCUAAGAUGCAACCAUCAAUCGUGGAUCGUAACUUUUAGCUCUUGGGGACCACGAAAAGAGCACGCACUUUCUCAGACGGUAUCGUUACGAGAUUAAACCGACCGAAUCGCCUUAGACUCGACCUUCAAAGAAACUCUCUUGUCCACCUCCAAGUACCUAGAGUAAGAAAGGGAGAGAACACAAAGUUUCUCCGGCCGGGACUCGAGAGAGGCAAGAAUUAAGGAAGAAAGGUAGGAAGGAAGAACACGAGUCAGGUGCGUACGACGUCGAACUUGGUGAGUUUCGAGAACGCAAUUUUCCCAGAGGAAUCGGUCCUCGCUAAUGCCAUGGCGACCAUAAAGUCGAACAGAGAAGAGAGUAAGAGAGCGAGAGAGAGAGAGAGAGAGAGAGAGAGAGAGAGAGAGAGAGAGAGAGAGAGAGAGAGAGAGAAAGUUAUACUUACUAAGAAG